This 230-nucleotide ribosomal RNA is filed under the name uncultured bacterium. Its description in RNAcentral is "partial 16S ribosomal RNA". It matches the Rfam family "Bacterial small subunit ribosomal RNA", at positions 567 to 791 of the family's 1533-position model. The record is from RNAcentral.
AGACGCACGUAGGCGGCGUUUGUAAGUCAGAGGUGAAAGCCUGGAGCUCAACUCCAGAACUGCCUUUGAGACUGCAUCGCUUGAAUCCAGGAGAGGUGAGUGGAAUUCCGAGUGUAGAGGUGAAAUUCGUAGAUAUUCGGAAGAACACCAGUGGCGAAGGCGGCUCACUGGACUGGUAUUGACGCUGAGGUGCGAAAGCGUGGGGAGCAAACAGGAUUAGAUACCCGUGU